Molecule: small RNA, 458 nt
Filed under: Pan troglodytes (chimpanzee)
Lineage: Eukaryota; Metazoa; Chordata; Mammalia; Primates; Hominidae
Description: processed transcript
Source: RNAcentral
GGAAUCUUUGGAAAGAACUGGCUUUUGUUCAGCCCUUAGGGAAGAAAGCCUGUGGCCUUUAGCAAGCAAGGAUGGGGGUGUAACCAGGCUCAUCAGACCUCCCAUCCCCUCACAGCCACAGACCCAGCUUUAAGUUUCCCAGAUGGAAGAUUCAUUCUUACUGCAGAUCUUAGCAACCUCAGCACAUGACUCUUUUUCUUUCCUCAUUAAGUCAAGAACCUUUGGCCUUUUCACUUAAAAGAAGCACUCUAAGGCUUCGCUUUGACAUACCCCAGUUGCCAGCAUCACUACUGUUUGGGACCAUUAGGAAGUAAAUUCAGGGAGACUUGAACACAAGCACUGCUUAUCUCGAAAGCUGAUCUGCUCACCGAGGUGGCCCUUGAGCAUGGACAGCCUGGAUCUGCUGGCAAAGAGCUCCUGGGAAGGUGCUGCUGGAUGCAGUUUGCAACCACCUCAAC